RNAcentral lists this ribosomal RNA (418 nucleotides) under uncultured Agrobacterium sp. RNAcentral's name for it is "bacterial SSU rRNA". It matches the Rfam family "Bacterial small subunit ribosomal RNA", at positions 1 to 455 of the family's 1533-position model. The record is from RNAcentral. Lineage: Bacteria; Pseudomonadati; Pseudomonadota; Alphaproteobacteria; Hyphomicrobiales; Rhizobiaceae.
UAGAGUUUGAUCCUGGCUCAGAACGAACGCUGGCGGCAGGCUUAACACAUGCAAGUCGAGCGCCCCGCAAGGGGAGCGGCAGACGGGUGAGUAACGCGUGGGAAUCUACCGUGCCCUACGGAAUAGCUCCGGGAAACUGGAAUUAAUACCGUAUACGCCCUACGGGGGAAAGAUUUAUCGGGGUAUGAUGAGCCCGCGUUGGAUUAGCUAGUUGGUGGGGUAAAGGCCUACCAAGGCGACGAUCCAUAGCUGGUCUGAGAGGAUGAUCAGCCACACUGGGACUGAGACACGGCCCAGACUCCUACGGGAGGCAGCAGUGGGGAAUCUUGCACAAUGGGCGAAAGCCUGAUGCAGCCAUGCCGCGUGAAUGAUGAAGGCCUUAGGGUUGUAAAAUUCUUUCACCGGAGAUGAUAAUGAC